UUAUUACUAGAAUGAGUCCACUACUAUAUGGUGCCACAAAUAAUUAGUGGUGCUGGUUAAGAAGAUUGGAGUUACAAGGAGUUACAUAACAAUUACAUGCCUAUGAUUACCCUAGUUAUUGUUUGAGUUACAAUUGUAAUUACCACAUAAUUAACCUAGUUAUUGUAUUGUAACUUAUCAUUGAUUUCUUUGGCUAUAA
Molecule: long non-coding RNA, 199 nt
Filed under: Carica papaya (papaya)
Lineage: Eukaryota; Viridiplantae; Streptophyta; Magnoliopsida; Brassicales; Caricaceae
Description: long non-coding RNA (CPAP_LNC005003)
Source: RNAcentral